GGCUCUGAGUGGGUCGGCCAUGCGUGUGCUGGCGAGAUGCACUGAAUGAUAAUGAGCUAUGCAAAUACGUGUGUGUGUGUGUGUGUGUGUGUGUGUGUGUGUGUGUGUGUGUGUGUGUGUAACGGAGGAGGGGGCUCGCUCGCCGUAUCGCUCCCUCCAUCCAUCCGUCCAUCCACUCCUCCUCCACCUCUUCUUCGUUGGUGGUGUGCCGGUUGGAAGGACGCCCCCCCCCCGCGCUUUGACACACUUGCACACACGCAGCAACGCACACCUCCGCUAUGUGUCACUACCCGUUGCAGCUGCGUCUCCCCGUCGCUCCAUCUACCUACGCUUGCUCUUUUCCCACCUUUUUUUUGUUUUCUUUGCCGUCUGUCAGUCUUUGUCCCUCCUUGUUCUCAUCCCCACGCCAUCACCACGCCAUCACCGCUCCUCUGUUUCACAGGAGAAAAAGACCAACUAACGCUCUGGCCGACCAAAGUGAGAAAGAGAAGGAGGAGGAAAGAGAGAAAAGUUGAAGAGGAGAAGAAGGCGAGAAGCUGGAGAGUGCGUCUGGAGCGCGGCGGCUCCUCCUCACGCCUUGAGCCCGACUCUACUUUGAUGGAAUACCCCGGGACAGCGGAGGGCAGAAGGAGAGAGGAGGAGGAGGAGGAGAAGAAAAGGUGAAGGUGAAGGUGGACCGGGAGAAGAAACAGAGAGUGAGAGCCUCAGGAAGGGUAAGUUGACCCAAAACCAUAGAAGAAAAAUAAUCUAGAACAUAAUAUAGAACACGACAGGCAGCUUAUCAAACAACUUCAGCAGCUCUGCUCCUUUUGCCAUUUUUUCAUUUGGCUUUUCAUCUCCGUCUCCCUCUCUCUCCCUCGGCUGAGUGUCCACAGGCUCCGUUUGGGAUUCUUUUCUUCUCUGAUUGCAAAACUGCUCUCCGGACUAGAAUCUCCUCUCUCCGUUUUUCUAUUUUCUAUUCUAAUUAAUACCCCCUUAUGCGAUCCCUCAAAGAUCCUCUCUCUCUCUCUUUGACUCUGCUUCUCUCCACCACGCUCUCUGCUUUCUCCCCCCUCGCUCCAUCUGUCUGCCUUUGAGAAGCAAAUAAUUGGAUGUGGAGUUUGGCUUCUUCGUGGCUGAGCCGGAGGAUCGAGGCUGUACGGCACUUCACACACACCAUUAUGCGCAUGCAUACACUGGGAGCUCAGGGUGUGCGUAUGCGUGUGUGAUUGUGAGUGAAUGCCGGAGUGUGUGUGUGUGUGUGUGUGUGUGUGAACCUCCUUCUUUGCUGAUGUUUUGUGUCAUUUUUAAAGGGUACGGCUGGUGUGAGUUCUCAUUUAAUCCCGUGAAAAGACCAAACCAACUUCAUGUUUCGGCCCUCUCCAAUAUCUUAGUCUAAGAUGUAAAUUUACAUUUAAAAAAAGACUAAAUGAUGCACGACAUCAUUUAGUCUUUUGGGUAAACCCCUUUGAACAAUGAGUAAACAACGCUUUUAUUGGACUAUUGUCAGUCAUCGAUGAAAAACUUCUAAUUACCCUGAUGAGUUUGCAGUAAUUGUGGGAUUUAGUCAAAAUAAACAAUGGAGGAACGUGUCGUUGUUGUUUGUAAUGGCUUUUGGGUCACAAUGGAACUCAGUGUCACAAAGAAAUAAGACUUUAGACACACCAGACGCACUUCAGUGUUCUUAGUGUUAUCUUAAACGUCACUUUGCUUCUGUUCGUUUUCAUCUCUAAAGUCAAGUGUGAUCUUCUAAAGCAGCGUCAUGCUCUUCACUUUGUCCGCGUCAAGCUGUUGGGGCUCAAUUAUCAACAAAAAAUGAUGUGACAAGGCAAGACAUUGUUCUCCCAGCGCGAGACGAAACUGGAAGAAAGCGAAAAGGAGCAGAAGAGCGAGAGAGAGAGAGAGAUGCUCGACUGUGUGAGAGACCUUUGAAGAGAUUGGUGGCAGAGGUAUUUCCCCGGAGAGAGAGAGAGAGAGAGAGAGCGAUGAAGAGGACGAGGAGGAGGAGGAGGAUCGAGGAGCGCCUGAGACGGGAAGACAGGAGGUUGUGUUGUAAUGCUGCAGGCUGGCUGAUCCACACUGAGAGGAGACGUGGAAGCCGCUCACUUUUUCUGCUCCGAGGACAGGACGCCAAGUCUCUGGUGGCGACCAAGAGACCCUCCAGAGCCGCACGCACACACACACACACACACACACACACACACACACACGCACGCACGCACGCACACACACACACGGAACAAGAAGGGUCUCCGCUUCACAUUUUCUUCUUCUUUUCUUCUUCUACUGUAUUUCAUUAUUCACUAGGUCUCUUUUUUUCCCUCCCUCUCUCUCUCUCCUCUCCACCACCUCCUGGGCCAACCACAUCUCCCUCCUCCUCCUCCUCCUCCUCCUCCUCCUCCUCCCACUACUACUACCGCUGCUCAGCUCCAUCCAGUUCAGUCCCAUUGUCCUCACGCACACACACCUUGCGCACUCACGUGUGCGCGUGUCCUCCGGAGUGCAGCUGCAGCGGAGCGCCGGGUCCCGGUCCGAGGUCUUUGUGGAUCCGCUGCGGCGUCUGAUAGGCCAUGCCCUUCACCUGCGCCUGCUUCUGUGGCCUGAACAGCUUUUACCGUGGACUGGGAAAGAAGAAAAGGGAAAAAGUGGAGGAGGAGAAGGAGGAGGAAGAGGGUGACCGAUGGAGGGAUCAGGAGACAAAGGUGUGACAGCGCUGCUGUCCUCACCUUCAUCAGGGUAUUAUCCUUUAACAGACUGCAAUGUACAGCCCUGGGUUGUAUGCAUUAAGAUACUUUAACAGGGAUUGUUAGGGCGCCUCAUCGGGGUACAAGCUUUUUAUCGUUUAUAACAGAGAAAGGUUUUUGUCACAUAGGUUUCAGGAUUGACAUGUUUUGCUACUUUUUGAGCUUUAUAAACUCAACAAUGCUGUCUCAAGCCAUAUUCUUCAAGAAACCAAACCCCUAUUAACUCAAGCUCAGUGCCCUUAACCGUGCUACCUGCGCUCGAAUUUUCCCUUGGCAGCGGACCGUUUGAUCCAUUUCUCGCCAGUGGACUGUAUCAGGUCCCCCUCUUUCUCCCCCCAAAUCAUCUCCCCACCUAGUUGCUUUUGUUAGACUUUGCAGUAACUUCAGCCAAGAAGAAGAAGUGUACAGUUUUUUUCCAAAGUCACACUGGAGGGCCGGGAGCCUCAUCUUGGCUUUCACGCCUGAGCUGGGCCCGAUUGAAAGCAGAGCAGCUGUCCAAUCAGCGGCUUAGCUGAAGUGUGAAGAUAGGAGUCAAGGGGUCAGGAUGAGCAACAGGGCUUUACGAGACAUCCCUCCUCUGAUGCCAUAGCAUCUCAGUCUCAUCAAUAGGGAGACAAGUAAUUACAAAAUACACUCACACACACAAUGACGCGGGCCCAUCCAUUAAUGUCCCGCCCGGUGGGAGUGGAGUGUCGCUCCGUAAAUGCCACCGCCGUGCGCUUCUAGCUGCCAGCCGCGUGGCAGUGCGCGACUCCGCGUGCUCGUCUGUCUCCUCGACUGCAACAAUAGCCUUUGAAAGCCUGAAACAGUGGCCAACAGAUCUAUUCAGCUGCCACGGAACUGGCUUUUCACGAUUGCCCAUCGAGCCACAAACACACACGCAGGUCUCAUUAGGCGCAUGCCAUUAUGCGUGGCACGUCCGGUCGGGCGGCAGAGAUGUAAUUAACCUUUUCCUGCAGGAAACAGAUGCCUUACGCACACACCGCACACACACACACACACACACACACACACACGCGCGCGUCUGCUGUCAGGGAAACAAAGCCGACGUCACCGUGUCACAGAGAAACAAAGCCCCAAAAGAGCCGCCUGGCACUCUCUGAUAAUCCCCCUCACCCAUAUUUACAAUCAGGGCUUAGAAUACGCCUCGCCGCCGCCGUCUCCUUCCACUGCCGCACUCAGUUACCAGCACCACCACCAUCCGUGCCUCCACCCAUCCAUCUUCUUUCCCUCCUAUCUGUCCACCUUCCAUCACAUUCACCCUUUACCUCCCUCGAUCUCUUCCCCUCAUCCAUCUUUUACAUCCCAGCUGCAAAACUCCUUUGCGGGGAUUUGGUUUAUCGUCAGUGUGUCGUACGCGGCCUUGCACGCCAUCAACCGCGGAUUAUCGCCCACCCACACGCUGACUCUCUUCAUCCCCGAACAACAGGAAUUUAUUUAGGCGGACCAGAAGAAAACUGCUUCACGACAGAUUAAUGGACGGCCCCGAUAGCGUCAGCGGGUGUGUUUCUGUGCUUCUGUGUGUUUACUCAUUUCCCAGCUGCAAUCGGCGAGACGAGACAAAGCUGAAGACAUUUCACAGUGCGGAGCACCUAUUAUGAUUCACGGUGUUACGACGCGGCCCUAAUGAGAAAAAGAGAGAAUGGGAAGAGGGGCUGUAAAGGGAUAGACGAGGAAGAGAGAGAGAGAGAAAGGGGGGCUAACGCUGGAGAGAGCAGUCAUGCUAAUUGGCUACAGUGGAUAACUUUCUGAGGCGAGGGUGAGUGUGUUUGGUGAUGGGCGGGGGGGCGAGAGGUGGGGGGCGGCGGGGGGGGGGUUUUCAGAGAAAAAGAACAGCCUGAUCUGUCAGCGUUACACUCAUUUAACGCUCCCUCCAUUUCACCUCUUUAAUGAGUAAAAUAUUCGCUCCAGUAAUGGCGAAAGACUUGAAAUUGGUAACGAUUUGUUGCUCUCUCUCACACACACACACACACACACACACACAGACCAUUAGGUGGCAUAGGGGAGGGGUGGGGCUGGAGGGAGGAUAAUGUUGGCCCGAGUGGGUGUGUGUUUUCCCCCUCAAGCCAGACAAACCAGUCCUUUAUGGAUCAUGGCAAUUUUCAGGGAUGUUUAACUCAAGGACAAAGAGCUAAAAAUAGAAGGGGUCGUGCACAACUUGGUGGGAGAAGGUGUGUGUGUGUUUCGGUGUGUGGGGGUGGCGAAGACAAGUUUUGUCGCAUUAGAUUUGGGUCAGAAAACGAGGGGGAGAGCCGACGAAGCGGAGAGCGUUGCAGACGGCGGCGGAGAUUCAUCACUCGCUGCUCGCGCUUGUCUCCUUCGACGCAUCGCCGCGACCUCUCCUGCUCACCUUUCCUCCCCCAGGAUGGCAAAACCAGUGCAAGUGGCGAACAGGUGAAGGGAAUGUAUGAAGUGAGAGGAUAAUCCACAUCUAGAUAAUAUUAACAUUUGGUGUUCCGGUACCUUGAAGUAAAAUGAGCACACACAUACUGUGGCAGACCCCAGCAGGGAUGUUUCUUUUGGUCGGAGUCCGCUCCAGUUUCAAAGAUUAUAGUUAUGCCAUUUCAUUUUGACAAACGCUGACAUACCAUUCUCUCCAAUAUUAGCUGAGAGGUACAAUACCUGUAUGGUUAGCGUAAGGGGAAAUGCGAAACGAUUAAAUUAGCAUAUAGACGGAACUCCUCGCAAGACAGCCAAAAAAAAAAUCGCAUUUCCCCAAAUGUCAAACUAUGCAUUGAAUCAAAUGGGGAGUAUGUUGAUUUACCUUCUAUUACGUGAGAGAUUGAACCAAAUAAACCUGACAGAAGUGCCUUGGUCAAGGAAAAAAAUAACUUCCUCAUCACUUCUGAGUACCUUUCUCCAGGGACAAUACAAUUCAUCUCUCGCAUUAAUAAACAACUCUUCUUCCCUCAUGUGCAUCAGACAGUCGUCCCUCUAUUACAUUCUCCACGCCUCACCCCGCAUCUGCUCUAGUCGUCCUAAUGAAGACAAAAGAAUUGGUCCCACCAAGGCUAAUUAAGAGGACUGAGAUACAGACGCGCUGACAGCCUGCCGAUGGACUCAGGAGGGAAGCGCUUAGAGCUCCCUGCCAGUCACGGGGCAUCAACGAAGCGAAUGGGAAAAGGGAUGGCGAGGGCAAAAAAAAAAACAAGCAGAGGAAGAGGAGCGGAAUAGGGGUGGGGGUAUACAGCGUAAUUGAGACUGUAAUGGGUUUUGUCAGAAGCACCUGUCAGGGUCAAGUUAAAACGAUUUUGGCGCGAGGGAGACGGGAGGGAUGGGAGAGGGGAGAAGGGGGGGGGGGGGCAAUUGGAGUCAGGAUCCCGGUGAGGAGAGGCCCUCGUCCAUGCCAACCUCACCUGAUUGCCAAUUUGUGCCAGUCUACAGACAUCAAACGCCCCCAAACACGAGCCCCGCGCAGACACACCGAAAGAGGAACGCGUUCGAUCACACUCACGCACGGACGCCGACGUCAAGCUACCCGCGCCGGGCUGAUUGGACCCAUCUAGCCACUUAACGAGGUGUCCACGGUGCCGACCCUGAGCUGCGUGAUUGGGAUAUAAAGCCGCCGCCGUUAAAUAUCUAAUUCUCCGCCCACGUCUGGAUGAAAAUAAGGCGCGGCGCUGAUUAGAUUGCAGCCUGCUGCGCCAACCCGCCGGGUCUGCGCCAUGUUCGUUACCAGCCCUCGACCCCCUCCCACCCCACCCCGACAGGUACCGUACCCGCCCCCGCCCCCCGGGCCAAUCCCAUCUCGGUUCAGGUGCUCCUGCCAACCACAAACAGCCUAUUUUGUGAUGGAAAAGCAAUUCCGACACCCUCGAGAGUUGAGGUCGAUGCCUGCGGAGUGAUGAAAUUAAGUUGAGUAAAAUGCAUUUACAAAUCAAUGUUAAAGCCGCACCUGGAAAAUUAAACAUGUGACAGCCCCCCGAACGCCAGCGGGACGCAGCUGAUUUAAAUUUAGAACCUCUGACACAAUUGAAUUCUUUUAGGGAAAUAUCAGUGAAUACCCCGCUGAGGUGAAGAGGUUCAGGCGCCGUCCUCUCGGGACGAGUGCCGUCAACUAUUUGACAGCGGAAUUUCUUCAGGCAAAUAGUAAAAAGCCCAACGUUUCCCCUUUGCUGAUGAUUGUUACGUAAAACGAAACGAAACAAAAGCCGUAGAGUGAGCGACAUUAACAUGAAGACAUUUAGCUCCAAAAAGUCAUUGCAAGUCUCAUACUAUUAACUAUGAUCUCUAAAUAAUCCCCCGGGAAGCUUUUGGGGAAUGUAACCCGGUUCACUGCCAUGGUUUGGCUUUCCUUGCAGUUAUCCUUAAUAAUCUUAAGUGUCAGGAUUUAAUACGAGUAAUGAGAGCAGCCACUUUAUGUCCGAUUCAUGUGUUCGAAAGCGGAAAAAAAUCUGCCGGAGGCCUCGGAGUUUGUGGGCUGAAGGUUAGAAGAGAUGCACAAAUCCACAUGGACACGGUGUCUUUUUUUUCAUCACCUCUGAAAGAAUCAUCCGCUCAACUCUUAAGCAACUUCUGCAGCUACUCCGGUCCAUCGCCACCUUCAGCUAACACGUGGCCUCAAAACAGAGAGGAAAAGAAAUGUAUAUGGAGUCAUGUUUUCAUUCGAUGAAAACUUUCCUAAUUGUCUUGGCGCCUGAUGCUAAAUCCCCAUCACCAAAGAAAUCAAUUCCUCUCCACUUUCUCUUCAUUGUGCUCUGCCCCCCGUUCUCCCGUCAGCCGCCCUCCCCAAACUCCCACUUGCACUGGUCGAUAGCGGAACGGGCAUCUAGCAGUGGCUUUGGUCUAAGUGAGGGAUUGAUUUUUGUGUGGGUGGGGGGCGGGGGGGGGGGGGUAACUAUGGGGCUUGAGUCACAGACCUCUUCUCUAAAAUGCUCCCUGAUGAAGUCUGUGAUUUAGUUGUGCUCAAGAACAAUACUUGUCAUUAGGGGCUGAUAGCAUUCAUUAUGAGCGACGCGGCGGCGCCACUAAUGAGGCCAAACACCUCGUUCUCCUCCAGACACAACGAAGCGCGGCCGAGGCGCACGCAGGGAGACGCCACAUCGUCCCGAUUGCAGGCUUGGGUUUCACUCUCGGGGGGCCACGUUGGCUCAUCAGAGCGCCCCGGAAGCGAAAAGUGGCUGGACGGGAGUCUUUGUUUUGGAAGCUCCGCUCAUAAUAUUUACUGAGGCGCUGGUAUUGUCAGACGCACAAUGACAGGCUCCCUCCCCCCUCACCCCCCACUCCCCCCCAUCCUCCUGUCCUCCCGUCCUCCCGGCCCCCUUCCAUCCAAAGCCGAUGAGCACAGAGCGCGUUCCCAUUGUCUGCAUUCUAGAUGCUGCUUCGGGAUUUGCGUUUGGGCCUUUGUGUGUAAAUAUACAUGGCCCUCCCCGACCUGUGCCUGUCCGCCGGGGUCCGACUGCAUGGAAUCUCCUCUCUUUCCACAGAUGUUCUGUAUUAUUCAGAGAUCUGGACCUUUUUACGGACGAGAGGGAAAACGGCAAAGCAGAAACGCAGAGCGAGAGGGAGAGAGAGAGAGAGGGAGGAGGCAGGAGAGAGUAGCAUCAACAGUGAGAUACAUGAACAGGAGGUCAGAGAGGUGACGGACGGACGGGGGGGGUGGAAUGGAGGGGGGGGGGUUGGGCGAGAGGCAGAAAGUGUGUGACAGGGAGAGCGGGAGGAGAGACACACACUGCAUCACAAAGGUUGCCUCACAUUGACAAAAACCCACCGACCAAUGCUUUGGCCAGGCAGCGCUGGCGCACACACACACACACACAAAACCUGCCACGUGCUGCGUGUGUGUGUGUGUGUGUGUGUGUGUGCUGGUGGUCCGCAUGCUGCAGAAGAGUGUUUGAAAUGCAGAGCACGUCCUAGGGAGCUCCUUUUGCAGUAAAGCCUCAUUAAAUAGACACUUGCCUUAAAGCAAGGAUAUACUGCCAGGACCACACACACACACACACACACACACACACGUUCAACACCAGAGAUUCGCUCAGGCCACAAAAAGCAACGCACACUCAGAAAAGACUUCAGGCGAGUCCAAUAGAAAUCUCUGUGGAGAAAUAAAAAGAAAUGCGACAGAGUAAACGUCCUCCACCACCCUCCUCAUUCCUCCUUGUUCCCUGUCCUUGUUCUUCAUAUGAAUAAAGUUGAAUCCAUCCACACCACACGCCCACGCGCCGCUCUCCCAUCUCGCACUGAUAUUGUAUUCAUGUAUAUUUGAUUGUGUCGACUCGGUGGAGAUUAGCGAUGCUGUAUCUCGUGUGCCUUUUUAAAAAUGCAUCUAUGAAUAAAUAACGUGUGUAUCCGCUGAUAUAUUGCCAAAAAGCCAUGAUGAAAUGAUAAUGUAAUAACUGUCGCCGCGUUGAAUAAAGUGGAGCGCUACUCAUUCUUUCUGUUUAUUUGAGGGGGGUUUUAUCGGGGGGGGGGGGGGCCUGAUGACAUUCUCCUUGCCACUGACAGUGCGUUUUAAUAAAGAGAGAGCUUUUUUCUAUACAUCCGAGUGCUGCAUGGUUAUUUGGAGAAAUUAAUAAAGAG
Molecule: long non-coding RNA, 9242 nt
Organism: Gasterosteus aculeatus aculeatus (three-spined stickleback)
Lineage: Eukaryota; Metazoa; Chordata; Actinopteri; Perciformes; Gasterosteidae
Source: Ensembl